RNAcentral lists this RNase P RNA (361 nucleotides) under Gammaproteobacteria bacterium. RNAcentral's name for it is "RNase P RNA component class A". It matches the Rfam family "Bacterial RNase P class A". From Rfam's summary of the family: Ribonuclease P (RNase P) is a ubiquitous endoribonuclease, found in archaea, bacteria and eukarya as well as chloroplasts and mitochondria. The record is from RNAcentral. Lineage: Bacteria; Pseudomonadati; Pseudomonadota; Gammaproteobacteria.
GGAGUUGACCGAACAGUCGCUGGCACGAGUUGACGCUCGUGCUAGAGGAAAGUCCGGGCUCCAUAGGACAGGGUGCCAGGUAACCCCUGGGGGGCGCGAGCCUACGGAAAGUGCAGCAGAGAGCAGACCGCCUAAGCCCGCCUGCUGGCGGGCCGGCAAGGGUGAAACGGUGCGGUAAGAGCGCACCAGCGCGGGUGGCAACAUCCGCGGCUCGGUAAACCCCACCCGGAGCAAGACCAAAUAGGAAUCCCACGGUGUGGUCCGCACCGGAUUCGGGUAGGUCGCUAGAGGUGCGUGGCGACACGCAUCCCAGAUGAAUGACUGUUCACGACAGAACCCGGCUUACAGGUCGACUCCCACU